This 513-nucleotide ribosomal RNA is filed under the name uncultured bacterium. RNAcentral describes it as "bacterial SSU rRNA". It matches the Rfam family "Bacterial small subunit ribosomal RNA", at positions 11 to 507 of the family's 1533-position model. The record is from RNAcentral.
GUUUGAUCCUGGCUCAGGACGAACGCUGGCGGCGUGCCUAAUACAUGCAAGUCGAGCGGACCAAAGGGAGCUUGCUCCUGGAGGUUAGCGGCGAACGGGUGAGUAACACGUGGGCAACCUGCCUGUAAGACUGGGAUAACAUCGAGAAAUCGGUGCUAAUACCGGAUAAUAAAAAGAACUGCAUGGUUCUUUUUUGAAAGAUGGUUUCGGCUAUCACUUACAGAUGGGCCCGCGGCGCAUUAGCUAGUUGGUGAGGUAACGGCUCACCAAGGCAACGAUGCGUAGCCGACCUGAGAGGGUGAUCGGCCACACUGGGACUGAGACACGGCCCAGACUCCUACGGGAGGCAGCAGUAGGGAAUCUUCCGCAAUGGACGAAAGUCUGACGGAGCAACGCCGCGUGAGUGAUGAAGGUUUUCGGAUCGUAAAACUCUGUUGUUAGGGAAGAACAAGUGCCGUUCGAAAGGGCGGCACCUUGACGGUACCUAACGAGAAAGCCACGGCUAACUACGUG